Pelobates cultripes (western spadefoot toad) is the source of this 207-nucleotide non-coding RNA. NCBI's taxonomy places the organism in Eukaryota, Metazoa, Chordata, Amphibia, Anura, Pelobatidae. The record is from the annotation of a GenBank genome assembly.
AGUGAGGAGCAGAUAGAAGGAUCCCAGGGAGAUGUCCCACAUCGGCUCCAAAAUGUAGGGAGCAAUAAAGAAAAGUAUAUAUGUGCAAGAAUGUGUAAGUGUGUUUGUGUGAGUGUCUGUGAGUGUGUGUCUCUCUGUCAGUGUGUCUGUAUGUGUGUGUGUCUGUUUGUGAGUAUAUGUGUGUCUGUGAAUAUGUGUGUCUGUGAG